UUUGAGUGAGUGGCGAACUGGUGAGUAACACGUGGGAAACCUGCCCAGAAGCGGGGGAUAACACCUGGAAACAGAUGCUAAUACCGCAUAACAACUUGGACCGCAGGGUCCGAGUUUGAAAGAUGGCUUCGGCUAUCACUUUUGGAUGGUCCCGCGGCGUAUUAGCUAGAUGGUGGGGUAACGGCUCACCAUGGCAAUGAUACGUAGCCGACCUGAGAGGGUAAUCGGCCACAUUGGGACUGAGACACGGCCCAAACUCCUACGGGAGGCAGCAGUAGGGAAUCUUCCACAAUGGACGAAAGUCUGAUGGAGCAACGCCGCGUGAGUGAAGAAGGGUUUCGGCUCGUAAAACUCUGUUGUUAAAGAAGAACAUAUCUGAGAGUAACUGUUCAGGUAUUGACGGUAUUUAACCAGAAAGCCACGGCUAACUACGUGCCAGCAGCCGCGGUAAUACGUAGGUGGCAAGCGUUGUCCGGAUUUAUUGGGCGUAAAGCGAGCGCAGGCGGUUUUUUAAGUCUGAUGUGAAAGCCUUCGGCUCAACCGAAGAAGUGCAUCGGAAACUGGGAAACUUGAGUGCAGAAGAGGACAGUGGAACUCCAUGUGUAGCGGUGAAAUGCGUAGAUAUAUGGAAGAACACCAGUGGCGAAGGCGGCUGUCUGGUCUGUAACUGACGCUGAGGCUCGAAAGUAUGGGUAGCAAACAGGAUUAGAUACCCUGGUAGUCCAUACCGUAAACGAUGAAUGCU
RNAcentral lists this ribosomal RNA (745 nucleotides) under Lactiplantibacillus plantarum. RNAcentral's name for it is "bacterial SSU rRNA". It matches the Rfam family "Bacterial small subunit ribosomal RNA", at positions 86 to 817 of the family's 1533-position model. Lineage: Bacteria; Bacillati; Bacillota; Bacilli; Lactobacillales; Lactobacillaceae. The record is from RNAcentral.